This 465-nucleotide ribosomal RNA is filed under the name Vreelandella stevensii. RNAcentral describes it as "partial 16S ribosomal RNA". It matches the Rfam family "Bacterial small subunit ribosomal RNA", at positions 338 to 795 of the family's 1533-position model. The record is from RNAcentral. Lineage: Bacteria; Pseudomonadati; Pseudomonadota; Gammaproteobacteria; Oceanospirillales; Halomonadaceae.
CCUACGGGUGGCAGCAGUGGGGAAUAUUGGACAAUGGGGGGAACCCUGAUCCAGCCAUGCCGCGUGUGUGAAGAAGGCCCUCGGGUUGUAAAGCACUUUCAGUGAGGAAGAACGCCUGGUGGUUAAUACCCAUCAGGAAAGACAUCACUCACAGAAGAAGCACCGGCUAACUCCGUGCCAGCAGCCGCGGUAAUACGGAGGGUGCGAGCGUUAAUCGCAAUUACUGGGCGUAAAGCGCGCGUAGGUGGCUUGAUAAGCCGGUUGUGAAAGCCCCGGGCUCAACCUGGGAACGGCAUCCGGAACUGUCAAGCUAGAGUGAAGGAGAGGAAGGUAGAAUUCCCGGUGUAGCGGUGAAAUGCGUAGAGAUCGGGAGGAAUACCAGUGGCGAAGGCGGCCUUCUGGACUGACACUGACACUGAGGUGCGAAAGCGUGGGUAGCAAACAGGAUUAGAUACCCUUGUAGUC